UUGCUAGAAAGCUCGACUUACCCACCAAGAAGGGACAGCAUGAGCAGUACAAACUUCCCCACUGCUUCCUAGUCCAUGUGCCUCAGCCCUGACCCGGAGGAACCACUCCUGGAGGUGAGAGAAUCGUUCAUUUUCAAGGCUGUU
Molecule: small RNA, 144 nt
Filed under: Chrysemys picta bellii (western painted turtle)
Lineage: Eukaryota; Metazoa; Chordata; Testudines; Emydidae
Description: TUC338 (ENSCPBG00000014085.1)
Source: RNAcentral